AUGUCUGCCCCUUUCCUUCCUCUUCCAGGGCUCUGUCUUCAGGAAGCCUACACUUCCCUUGUCACCCUCCCCUCUGAUCCUGGACCCAUUCCUCCAACUGACAUUAAGUGAGCAACCACUGGGCACUGACAUUUGACAGUAAAUCCUGGAGAAACAUUGAUAAGCAUUGAUAAAUAAUCUAGGAGAGAGGUGAAAUGACCUUCCCCAUUCCACAAGUUUUUCUUGAGCACUUCUGUUGUGUUAGUCCCUGAUGGGUUGGUAGGUAGUGGGUGCUCAGUAGCAUCUAUGAGGUCAACACAGAUGACCCCCCAACAUAAAUGCAGGCUUUCUCAUCAGGGGAGAAACUGAAACACACAGGAGGCCAGGUGGGGAGGUCAAAUGGGUGGGGCCAGCCAGUCCCACAUCUCCACUGGUGCCAAGAGAGCUACAGUGGACAGAGUGAGGUCCCAGGAGGAAGAGUGCUUUAUCCAUGCUGGCCCCUGCUAUAGUUAUAGCAUCCACUAUGGAGCCUGGAAUGAAGACAGUUAUCAAUUAAUACUUGUGGGAUGAAUGAAUAUCCUAUUUUUUCUUGACUUGUGUGACCCAUUUGCCUUACAUGUGCCAACUUUUGGUAGGGACAGACAGAGCUGAUUUCCUAAGUAUGAGGAAAAGAGUCUUGCUAAACUGUGAUAGAAGGUCCUGGAGAGGGCUGGAGAUGUGGCUCAAGCGGUAGCGCGCUCGCCUGGCAUGCGUGCGGCCCGGGUUCGAU
RNAcentral lists this long non-coding RNA (748 nucleotides) under Marmota monax (woodchuck). The record is from RNAcentral. Lineage: Eukaryota; Metazoa; Chordata; Mammalia; Rodentia; Sciuridae.